AACGAACGCUGGCGGCAUGCCUAACACAUGCAAGUCGAACGAAGGCUUCGGCCUUAGUGGCGCACGGGUGCGUAACGCGUGGGAAUCUGCCCUUUGCUUCGGAAUAACAGUUAGAAAUGACUGCUAAUACCGGAUGAUGUCGCAAGACCAAAGAUUUAUCGGCAAAGGAUGAGCCCGCGUAGGAUUAGCUAGUUGGUGGGGUAAAGGCCUACCAAGGCGACGAUCCUUAGCUGGUCUGAGAGGAUGAUCAGCCACACUGGGACUGAGACACGGCCCAGACUCCUACGGGAGGCAGCAGUGGGGAAUAUUGGACAAUGGGCGAAAGCCUGAUCCAGCAAUGCCGCGUGAGUGAUGAAGGCCUUAGGGUUGUAAAGCCCUUUUACCCGGGAUGAUAAUGACAGUACCGGGAGAAUAAGCUCCGGCUAACUCCGUG
This 433-nucleotide ribosomal RNA is filed under the name uncultured bacterium. Its description in RNAcentral is "partial 16S ribosomal RNA". It matches the Rfam family "Bacterial small subunit ribosomal RNA", at positions 29 to 507 of the family's 1533-position model. The record is from RNAcentral.